GAUGAAGAACGUAGCGAAAUGCGAUAAGUAAUGUGAAUUGCAGAAUUCAGUGAAUCAUCGAAUCUUUGAACGCACCUUGCACCCUUUGGCAUUCCGAAGGGUAUGCUCGUUUGAGUGUCAUUGUACUCUCACACUUCUAAUCUUUGGAUUGGGGGCGGUGGACUUGGGUGUUGCUGCUUACUGUGGCUCACCUCAAAUUGAUUCGUGCACCUCUUGGUUGGACAUAGUACGGCGUGAUAAGUGUCUUCGCCGGCACCUCAGUAGAGGGUGGCUGAUCGGGAGCUCUGUGCUUCAAACCGUCCUCGGGCAACAACUGACAACUUGACCUCAAAUCGAGUAGGACUACCCGCUGAACUUAAGCAUAUCAAUAAGCGGAGGA
RNAcentral lists this unclassified non-coding RNA (379 nucleotides) under soil metagenome. Its description in RNAcentral is "partial contains 5.8S ribosomal RNA, internal transcribed spacer 2, and large subunit ribosomal RNA". The stretch from base 1 to 120 matches the Rfam family "5.8S ribosomal RNA", at positions 35 to 154 of the family's 154-position model. The record is from RNAcentral.